GGGGUUGUACUGGUUUCGACGGGUCUUUUGAAGAUGGAGAAGCUGUCCGUAGCGGGCACUACGUUAAAAGUCCAACAAAAAUAUAAACGCUGAAGACAAUUUAGCAUUAGCUGCCUAAUCGCAGCUCACUGGCCUCCGCUUUCCGCGGCGGGGAUAACCAGUGUCACCCCAGCGGAACACUCUGUUGCUAAAGCUUUGAAGCAGCAGAAAAUUUAUGAAGCUACUAAAGGGUAAAGCCUGCUAGUGGGCGUUGCCUGGAGGGAAUGUCUAAACACUUGCUAUGACAGUAGAAGUACAUUGGAUUGAGGUCCGGACAGGGGUUCGAUUCCCCUCAGCUCCACUA
This 343-nucleotide transfer-messenger RNA is filed under the name Lachnospiraceae bacterium. It matches the Rfam family "transfer-messenger RNA". Rfam says of the family: Bacterial tmRNA, also known as 10Sa RNA or SsrA, is named for its dual tRNA and mRNA-like properties. Its role is to liberate the mRNA from a stalled ribosome. To accomplish this part of the tmRNA is used as a reading frame that ends in a translation stop signal. The record is from RNAcentral. Lineage: Bacteria; Bacillati; Bacillota; Clostridia; Lachnospirales; Lachnospiraceae.